CUAGGUCCCCAGCUUGCUCGCAGGGCAGAGGUUCUGCUCAGGGAGGGUCAGGCCCCCACCUCCCCGCACCACAACAGGACUGUCACUCAAGGAGGCCGUCCCUGCUGUUGGCCCCGUGCGGUAGCACGGGGGACUGGCUGUAUUUGUAUUGCAUGGUGGAGGAUCCCAAUGGCUCCCUAAUUCCAAUGCCAAGUUGAAGACAAUGGGGACGUGGUGGGGAGCCAUGACAGGGGCCUCCUAGCUCUGUGACGGCAGCAGCAGAAAGCCAGUCUGAAGAACAACCAGAAGCUUAACAGAGCCCAGAAGAGCCUUCCUGGGGUCACAGUCGACCUUGAGGGUCAGGGAGGCUGCCUCCAAGUGCUAGACCGCACGCACGUGGCCGUGGGCUUAAGGAGGGCUUGGAAACACUCCCCACACACCUAGACCAACCCUGGCUGAGGGGCCUUAGCACAACCUCGAAGCAAACACUGGCUGCACAAGAAACCACCCGGCCACAAGAGCCGCUCCCAGGAGCCAGGCCUAGAGGUACAAUAUCUGGAGGUCCGGAGAGCACGUGCGCGUCUAAGGCUGCCCGUGCAGGGGAGACGGAGAGGGGCAACCCAAGCUACUAGUCCCUGGCUGCGGGUGGGCAAAACCGUACAGUCGCGCACUGUGACAGCAGCCUCCAAGCCACACGCACACAGAUGCACACAUGCACGCACGCACACGCACACACAGGCACACGCGGUGUGACAGGCCAAGGGGCUUACCCACCGCCGUUGAUCAAAAAAUGGCUUCUGUUGACCCAAGGGUGACCCCUAGGUAGUGAAGUUAAGAGAGACCCAAACAAGACAAAACCUGCAGGGAACCAGAGGCUGCACAGCGCGGGCAGAAGGACCUCAGAGUUAGUCCAGCUAAGUCACUCACCAAACACGGACCACCAAGCAAACACCAAGCCCAUGGGGAGGAGGGGUGGCGACCCAGGGUCGCUGUCACAUUCCAUCUAAAUGUCUAGCUUCCGACGGGAAACCAUGAGAUACCCAGAGAAACAGGAAAGUGUGAGCGUUAGAAGUGGGAAAAAGCAGAAAUAGAAACUUCUGAAGGAGCCCGGAUGAGGGACUUAGCAAAGACUUCAGAGCAGCCAUUAUAAAUACGUUCAAGCCGUGGUGCUGUGAGGCUGCAGGAUGAUCUGGGAGGCAGGAGAGCACAGGAGAUUGUGAGCAAAAGAAACUGUGAGCCUUUUUACGAAUGUGAGCCUUUUUAAAUCACCAGUGGCCCCACUCAGGCUCUACGUCACCCCCGUGGCUCUGUACUGCGGUCAGCGGAGCCGCUUACAGCCGCCGCACAGUGAGGCCCCUGGCACACAGUAAUCGCUCUGCGAAAGUUCACGAGCAAGCCUGGAGGCAGCUCUAUUCCAAGGGACUUGAGAGAAUGGACAGCCUGGACAGUGCCUGCUCUCAAGAGGUUCUUGUCUAACUGAGCACAGAUGCAAGCUAGCAGAAAAGCUGCACGUUAGCCUGGACCAAGGGCGUCUCCUAGGCGUGGAGAGAGCUUUGCAACAGUUUCUCCUUGAGACCAAGGCAACAUGGCUUAAUUUGUUCUGUGUCCUCAGAGCCUCACACGUAAGGGGCUUAGCAAAUGUUUAUGUGCGUAAGGAUGUUUAUAGUAGCACUGUUUCUAAUAGCUGAACAGCGAAAACAAAAGAGUAAAAAGCAGGGAAAUGGGUGAAUACAACAAGGGCAUCCACAGGUUAGACUUUUUCAUAUCAUGCUCGUGAAAACGUGCGGCUGUGGGAAAACGCUAACAACAAAUUAAACAGUAAAGUUUACAAAACGA
Long non-coding RNA from Neofelis nebulosa (Clouded leopard), 1815 nucleotides. RefSeq lists it as uncharacterized. The record is from RefSeq and is a predicted model, not a curated record. NCBI's taxonomy places the organism in Eukaryota, Metazoa, Chordata, Mammalia, Carnivora, Felidae. The transcript has 2 exons.